This 253-nucleotide ribosomal RNA is filed under the name uncultured bacterium. RNAcentral describes it as "partial 16S ribosomal RNA". It matches the Rfam family "Bacterial small subunit ribosomal RNA", at positions 524 to 776 of the family's 1533-position model. The record is from RNAcentral.
UACGGAGGGUGCAAGCGUUAUCCGGAUUCACUGGGUUUAAAGGGUGCGUAGGCGGCUAAGUAAGUCCGUUGUGAAAUCUCUGAGCUUAACUCAGAAACUGCCGUGGAUACUAUUUGCCUUGAAUAUUGUGGAGGUGAGCGGAAUAUGUCAUGUAGCGGUGAAAUGCUUAGAUAUGACAUAGAACACCAAUUGCGAAGGCAGCUCACUACACAAUCAUUGACGCUGAGGCACGAAAGCGUGGGGAUCAAACAGG